UUAAUGUGUAAACAAAAUGUGGACGUGGACACCAAAGCGUGAAUAACAGAAUUAUAAAUUAGUUGUGGACAUGAACAUCUUAACAAAAUUAUAAACUAGUUGUGGACAUGAACAAUAUUCCUUCAAUUCCAUUCAUCAGGUCGGAAUCUAAAUUCAACUCUAAUCAAAAUUACAUCCAUCCACAUCAUGACAAAGCGCAAAUUCCUUAGAUCAGAAUUCUAUGACAUGCAAGAUCUAUUACUCUCCGACAAAAGGUAAAUGCUUCUUCGAUUUUUCUCUCCGCUCAUACUCACAAUAUCAUCUCUUUCUCAUUUUGAUUGA
RNAcentral lists this long non-coding RNA (321 nucleotides) under Brassica napus (rape). Its description in RNAcentral is "long non-coding RNA (BNAP_LNC011988)". Lineage: Eukaryota; Viridiplantae; Streptophyta; Magnoliopsida; Brassicales; Brassicaceae. The record is from RNAcentral.